RNAcentral lists this non-coding RNA (106 nucleotides) under Firmicutes bacterium CAG:103. RNAcentral's name for it is "Purine riboswitch aptamer". It matches the Rfam family "Purine riboswitch aptamer". Rfam says of the family: Riboswitches are metabolite binding domains within certain messenger RNAs that serve as precision sensors for their corresponding targets. Allosteric rearrangement of mRNA structure is mediated by ligand binding, and this results in modulation of gene expression. RNAcentral also lists the same sequence under 1 other name. Lineage: Bacteria; Bacillati; Bacillota. The record is from Rfam by way of RNAcentral.
AAGUGAACACAGUCACUUUCAGGUAUAGGCGGGGAAGUCACAUGGGCCCCGCGUCUCUACCGGGCGGCCCUUGAAUUGCCCGACUACCGGAAUGCAGCACGCACAG